AAAUCAAGUCCCUCUAUCCCCA
Molecule: transfer RNA, 22 nt
Filed under: Mesembryanthemum crystallinum (common iceplant)
Lineage: Eukaryota; Viridiplantae; Streptophyta; Magnoliopsida; Caryophyllales; Aizoaceae
Also listed under: 17 other names
Description: partial tRNA-Leu
Source: RNAcentral